RNAcentral lists this long non-coding RNA (401 nucleotides) under Helianthus annuus (common sunflower). RNAcentral describes it as "sRNA HanXRQr2_Chr03g0125361". Lineage: Eukaryota; Viridiplantae; Streptophyta; Magnoliopsida; Asterales; Asteraceae. The record is from RNAcentral.
GGUCGCGUGGCCACACAAAUCUGAAACAGAAACCAACACAUAAAUUGUUAUUUUGGACUUCAAAUAGUUCAGAAUUGACCUUUGAUAUCUAGUGUUGUUGAAACCAACAGCAUUAUUUAUUGAUAAAUGAACUUCUGAGCAUCAUAUUUCUAUAAGUGUUAUUGUUUAACUCGUCAUCAGUUACAAUUAUCGAAAUUUGGAACAUGUGUAAGUGCGGCUUUCGCAAACUACAUAACCUAGAAAAACACACGCACUAAGAGCAAGAAUGUAUACGUGGGGAACCAAUCGAGCUGAAGCCGAACCGGUAGAGAUGAAACAGAAUUGGCAAAAACAGAGGAAACUUAUGCUAGUUAAAAAGGCAGAUAAAGUUCGUGUACCGUAAUCCGAUGGUAUUUCUCCUU